CAGCCCUCUGAGUCUGAGUCCAGAUUUCUUCUCUCCUUACCUUCCUCUCCCUUGGAAACCCAACUCCUCAGCCAGGUGAGACAAUGGGCUGGUUCUUGUUUCAUUUCUCUCUCUCUCUCCAUUCCCCUCUGCCUGGUGAGCCUUCCCCUGGUGUCUGCCUGGCAGCCCCCACCUCCCACCUAUCACCCCUCACCCAUAACUCAGGUCAACGUGACCAACCUUCCUUGCUUACACAUAAACUUGUAUAUAUUUGGAUGUAGCCCUUAUUUAAUGGCUGUCAUUAUUUAUAGAUAUGUCUAUCCUUGCUACUUGGUUGUGAGUUUCUCCAGGGGAGGAACUGUGUUUUAUUCAUCUCUAUGUCCUCUGUUUCUCAGCAGUGUCUGAAAUUUAAUGGGUUCUACUGAUGUUUAUUAGAGAAAUGGAUGAAUAAAUGAAUGAAGAGAUCCAAAUUCAUGUUCACCUUGCCAAUUCACUACAUCAUCCCCUAUUUGGAGAAGAACUUUCUGGACAGUGCCCGCAUACCACCAGCAUUUUCUGUGUUUCUGUUCCCUCUCAGUCCAAGAGCCAUAAGAUCUCUAUGGUACCAGCAUCUGUGUAAGAGGAAGCAAAGAGAAGCAACAGGGUGUCUGGUGGACAUGAGAACCUAAAAUAACCAAGAUAUUUUUACCCCAAAUUUUUGACAGCUUAGCAUCUAAAAUCAAGAGGCCUUUUUGCACACUCCAAUGGUGUGUAAACACAAAGGAUUCUGUAGUAAGAUCUGCAGGAACUGGAACGGUUUGGGUCCUAUGCCUCUCAAAACUAGCCAGCUAAAAUUCCCUUCUAGAACAAAGCCCCACAGGUGAGAACUGCUGGAAACAGAAUCUAAUUCAGUCCAGGCCUAAGAGAUUAAAAAAAGAAAAAACAAAAAAGAAGCUCACAUGAAAGUGUGGAAAGGCAGUGGAGCAAGAAGCUCUCUGAAUAUAAGCCAUCAUAAUGUUGAACAUUUACUUGAAAAAAAUAAUAGAAGGUGUCCCAGAGUGAUUGAAUUAAAAAAGCUUCUCAAAACCAUACAUCUUUAAAGUUGAGGAAAGCUAAUAUAUAAAAUAAACAACAGAAAAUAAUUGAGGUUCAAACCCACAUAAAGUCAUUUUAAGAUAAAAAUAGAAUCAGGAGCAGAAUAAAGAAAAUAAAAGCAUUACAUAAAGACAUGCUUAUGGGUGAAAACUAUAAACUACAAUUUCAAACUGAGCUAAAAUAAUUAGGAAAAUAAUACAAGAUAUGAAAGAACAAUUAAUGGAAAGUACAAAAACUCAGAAAUAAGGUAAUGGGGCUCAGAAGAGAAUAAGAAAUAAAGGAAAUAUCAAUUUCAGAAAUAAUCAGUAAAAAAAAAAUGUUAAAAGUGGAUAUACAUAAUGGAUAAUGCCUUUAAAGAAAAAUAAGAUAAAACGAAGGAAAAUUCUAAAAUAAAAAAUAAACUAAAAAGUAACAUUAAAAUAAUUAGAGAGAAAGUGAUAAAUAUAAAAGAUAGGCAAAGAAGAUACAAGAUACAAGUAUACAUGUAACUGGAGUCCCUAAAGAAGAAAACUGAAGUAAAGGAACAGAACAAAUAUUCAAAACUACUAUGCUAGAAACACCUCCUGAAAUAAAAAAAAUUCGAAAUUUUGUUUUUAAAGGGCACAUUUCCUACCAGAAAAGAUGCACUCAAAAUGAUGAAUGCAAACAUACGGUCUAUUUGAACUAAUGGAUUUUUAAGAACUCAUUCUCUUUAGUGGAAAAUAUCCUUUGGGCAUUCAGGAAAAAACAAAAAAACAAAUCACUAAUAAGAGAGAAAAAUAUCAUCAGACUUAUUGACAACAACAUUUUGGGCUAGGAGAAAAUAUAAUAACACAUUUUAAAAAUAAGAAAAAAUGUGAUCCAAGGAUUAUGUUCAAUCAAAUUGACUUUUAUAUACAAAGGUCACAGAUAAACUCUCAUGAACAUGGAAGAACUCUGUGAAUACUAUUCCCAUAAGACUCUUUGUAAGAAUCUACAGGAGAAUGUCUUUAAAAAUGACCAAAAUAACUUUAGAGACACUGGCAUUAUGACUGGUGGUAAGCAUUUGAUAUAUAUUUACUUGUAGAAUUAAGACCAAAUGAAAGUUAUUAGAAAAAUAGUAUUGUAUGUAAUGGUUAUGAACUCUGACAAUGUAGUAUAAGGUAGAACUGUAAAAAAGUGGGGAGAGAAUAAGGAGAGCAUCUGCAAGUUAGUUUUUAAAAUCAUUUUAGUCAUCAUAUUAUAGUUCUAAUAUUAAUAUUGUUAUUAGAAGAAAGUUUAGUAUGAGAUGUUGAAUCAAACAAAUGAGUAAUUAUGUGAUAUUCUAGUUCCAUCAUCCCCAGUGUUUUUGAAAGUAGGAUUCUCAGUGUGGGAAAAGGAGAUACAGAUUAACACAGCAGAGGUUAAGUGAUACACUGUGUCCCUGGAUGUGAAUUAAAAAAACAAUAGGGUGAACUCAUUUAUGAACAUAUGAGGUGUUUCACCUUAAAUAAUUUUACCUUUGCUCACUGAAAGGGCCCAGAAACCCGAUCAAUAUGGUAGCAAUAAGUAUCUGUAGUACCCAAGUUGUGAUCUUAAAAUACCAUUUCCCAGUAAAAGAAAUCAACAGUUCUUAGAGAAAUGGCUGAUUUCAGGUCUGGGAUGGGAAACAUAUAAGUUAAAACAUUUUAUCAUAUAAGGUAGCAAUGAAGCUAUUAAAUAUUUCUCAUAUUGGGUCAAAAGGACUUGGGAAAUUUCUACUGUCUAAUGGGAAAAUUCCAAUGUCUAAUGGCUAAUGACAAUAUGAGCAUAAAUAGCAACAACAACUGCAAUGGGUCUGAGCUUGUUAAGUUUAAAUCAACACAUUCAUAAUAACACUAAAAAAACCCCCGAAUUGUCACUGCUAGGACAUCCACUGAAUCUACUUUUUUACUUUAAAACUUGUAAAAAAAGGGAAAGAGAAAUGUACCUAUUCUUCCUUUCCUAUACACAGAAUACAAUUGAAUAACCAAAUAGUAGAGAACUUCUCCUAAUAGAUGUACUCUAAUAAAUACAUGAAAAAGUAAUGGUAGAAAUGGAAUAUCAUCACCUUGCAAGCCCUAAUAAAAAAUCUAGGCAUUAAUGACUGUUAACGUCACACACACAGCUCCCAACUGAUGAAAGGUCUGUGGACUGUUUACCUACUCAAGCUUCCGCAAUGGUGGACACCCCUCCCCCAGCCUCGCUGCUGCCUUGCAGUUCAAUCUCAGACUGUGCUAGCAGUGAGCGAGGCUCUGUGGGAGUGGGACCCUCUGAACCAGGUGCGGGAUAUAAUCUCCUGGUGUGCCAUUUGCUAAGACCGUUGGAAAAGCACAGUAUUAGGGUGGGAGUGUCCCGAUUUUCCAGGUAUCCUCUGUCAUGGCUUCCCUUGGCUACAAAAGAGAAUUCCGUGACCCCUUGUGCUUCCCAGGUGAGGCGAUGCCCCGCCCUGCUUUGGCUCACACUCCAUGGGCUGCACCCACUGUCUGACAAGCCCCAGUGAGAUGAACCCAGUACCUCAGUUGGAAAUGCAGAAAUCGCCUGUCUUCUGCAUCACUCACGCCAGGAGCUGUAAACUGGAGCUGUUCCUAUUCGGCCAUCUUGGAACCCGUCCUGAUGUCUAAAAUUAAUCUUAAAAAAGAUUAAUUGGUAAAAUUCUAAUAAGUCUAACUGAGAAAGAGGGGGUGGAGGAGAAACAUAUAUAACUAAUGUCAGAAAUUAAGCAAGGAACGUUACUGAAGAUCAUUGAAGACAUAGUAAGAAGAUAGUAUGAAAAGCAGUAUUCAAUACAUUUGCAAACUGACAUUAAAUAGAAAAAUUCCUAAAAAGGUGCACAUCACCAAAUUUGACACAAGAAGAAACAGAAAACCUAACUUGUCCUAAACGUUAAAGAAAUGGCAUCUGUAAUUAAUACCUUCUUAUAAUAACAAAACAACACAAAACAACAAUUAAAAAAGUUAGUCUGAGGUAUCUUCACUAAUGAAUUCUACAAGAGAAGAAGUUAGAAAUAACAUCCAUUUUAAACAACCUUUUUAUAGUAGGAAAAGAGGAACACUCUCCAACUUGUUGUAUGAGGCAGCAUAAUAAAAAUACCCCCUUAUGGAAUAUUUUAGAUUUAUACAAACCUAUAGAGACUAAUAUAUUUAACUCAUACGUACCCAAAAUCUAGCUUAAAUGAUUAAUUCAUGGCUAAUUACAUUUAAACCAUACUCCCCACACAUUUCCGCAAAAGAAAUUCAUAUGUAUCAUACAAUGUCACCUAUAAACAUUUCAUUAUAUGUUGCUGAAAUAAAAUGACAGUAAGAAAUAGUCAAUAUCAUUAUCAUGCCUAAAAGAAUCAACAAUCAAUAAUAAUUUCUCAAUAUCAUAAAAUGCUGAGUUUGUGCAUGAAUUUGUCUCGCUUUUUUCCUGUUUGUUAGAAUUGGCAUCCAAAUAAGGUCCAUACAUUGUGGUUUUUUAAAUUUAUUUUUUAUUUUUUAUUUUUUUUUUGAGACAGAAUCUCACUCUGUCACCCAGGCUGGAGUGCAGUGGUGUGGUCUUGGCUCACUGCAACCUCUGCCUCCAGGGCUCAAGCGAUUCUAAGGCCUCAGCCUCCUGAAUGGCUGGGAUUACAGGUGCCUGCCACCACUCCUGGCUAAUUUUUGUGUUUUCAGUAGAGACAGGGUUUCACCAUUUUUGUCAGGCUGGUCUUGAACUCCUGGCCUCAAGUGAUCCACCCACUCCGGACUCCCAAAGUGCUGGGAUUACAGAUGUGAGCCAGUGCACCCAGCCCAUACAUUGUGUUUGAUAUGUCUUUUAUAAUUCCUCUAACCUGUAGGCUCCUAGCAUCUCUUUUUUUCCUUGCUAUUUAUUUGUUGAAGAAACUAGUUUGGUUUGCUACAGUUUUCCACAGCAUAGAUUUUGCAAUUUUGUAUCCAUGGUACAUUUUAACACAUCUCUCUGCUCUGAAAUUUCCUGUAAGUUGGUAGAUCUAGAGGUUUUUGGUUCAAUUUUUUUGAGGGCAAGAAUACUUAAUGAUGGGGUUAGAUUCUUCCAUCAGAAGUCACAUAAUGCCUGAUGGCCUAUUUAGCUCUUCUUUUUGAUGUUAGCAGCCACUGAUAAUUAUGUUCAGAAAUUUAUUAGGGAUGAUAAAAUGCUGAUAUUAUAAUUCAAUAGUUCCAGCUUCAUUUAUUAGCUGGAAUACUUUUAUAAAGGGAAACUUCCAUUUACCAACCAUUUGAAUACCAUGAGAUAGAGUUUAUACAGAAAAAAUAAAAAACAAUAUGUACACACACACACACACACACACACACACUCACACCUCAAACAAAAGCUUGAUUCUUUAAAAUAAUAUAUUGGUUCCCCAGUGUAGCACUGGCCACAAUAAUGUUGCCUCACAAAUCACCUCAAAACUUAGCAGAAUACAACAAUAAGCAUUUAUUCUCACACUGAGAAACAAGUGUGAAUGAGCUGAUUUAGAGUUGACUGACAGGCUUUGCUUCAAGCUGUGGCUCUGUCUGGGUUUGGCUUCUUGCUCCAGACUAGACACAGAACAACCCCAUGCAUAUUUAUUCUGGGGUCCAAAUGCAUAUGUAAAUUUCAAGCUUUUGCACCUCACUUCCAUGAUCUACUUAUUGGCCAAAGCAAAUCACAUGGCCAGAUCAAUACUACUAAGACAGAAAAGUACACUUUUCUUCUUCUUUUUUUUUUUUUUUGAAGACAAAGUCUCACUCUGUUGCCCAGGGUGGAGUGCAGUGGUGCGAUCUCGGCUCACUGCAACCUCCUCCUCCCAGGUUCAAGCGAUUCUCCUGCCUCAGCUUCCUGAGUAGCUGGGCCUACUGGUGUGUGCCACCACGUCCAGCUAAUUUUUGUAUUUUUAGUAGAGACAGGGUUUCACCACGUUGGCUGGGCUGACACUUUGUUACUAGUAGGAGGAGAGGGGAGAGAAUAUUUGUGGAAUUGCCUAUACAACAAAUGCUGCUAGAAUAAUUGGAUUUUCCUAUAGAAAAAAUAAAACCUAUCCUUCACACGAUGCACAAAUAUCAAUUCCAGGUGAAUUGUAGAUUUGCAUACAAUGGGCUAAACAUAAGCGAUGUAGAAGAUAAUAUAUCCAUCUUCAUUUUUUAUGGUGUAGGAAAAGACUUCUUAAAAAUGACGGAAAAAACAUUAACCCUAAAAGAAAAGAUUAUAAGUUGGAUUAUGUUAAAAUUAAUAACUACUGUUCAUCAAAUGACACUAUUAAGAAAGUGCACAGGUAAACCGCCAAGUUAGAGAAAGCAUCCGCAAAGCACAGAUGACAAAAAGAUCAUAUACAGAAUAUUUUAAAGAUCUGGAAUUUAUAAAGAGGUGAGAUUCAUAGAAGUAAGUCUAACAAAUUUGAUUGGUUAAAAAUGGCAUUUAUGUGAAAUUUUAAUAUAUAUUUCUCUUAUAAGUGACCUUGAGUAUCUUUUCAUGUGUGUAAGGGAGAUUUGUAUCUCUCUUUCCAUCCAUUCUUCUUGUCCUUUGCCCAUUUUUCUAUUUGAUUGUUGGUCUUCUGCUUCUAAGUGCUUUCAUGCAAAAAUAUAUACAUUAGAGAAAUUAGCUUUUUUUGUGAAACUAAUUGCAAAUAUUUUUCCCAGGCUUGUUAUCUGCUUUUUGCUUUUGCUUAUGAUACAUUUUUAGUUUUUGGAGUAUGCAAGAGUUUUUUACUUUAAGUAGCCAAUUUAUCAUAUUUUAUGACUUCUGAGUCAUAUUUAGAAAGGCCUACCACUCCCAUGUUAUAAUAAAAUUAAUUCAUGUUUUCUCAAGUAAUUCAAUGUUUUAAUUUUUGUAUGUAUUUUUUGAUUCAUUUAGAGUUUAUUUUUGUGUUGUGUAUGGUAUGGAUAAAAAAUUUAUUUCUUUCCAUAUGACUAUCUACUUGUUUCAAUAAUAUUUAUUAAAAAUGCCCAUUCACUUGUUGGAUCUACUUUUGUGUCCUUCAGACUUGUUUUAGCCCUAGUUCUACAGUUAAACAUAUUUGAUGCUCACCACAAGUUUUUAGUUUUUUUGGCCGAAAUUUCUCCAAUAACUUGUUGACUGGAUAAAGAUUAUUCUCUAGUAAAGUACUUAAUAAAGAGCUUGCCUUAGUCCAUUUUGUGCUGCUAUAACAGUAUACCUGACACUGGGUAAUUUAUAAUAAACAGGAAUUUAUUGGCUUACCGUUCUGGAGGCUGGCAAGUCUGAGACUAUGGCACAAGCACCUGGUGAAGGCCUUUCUGUUACAUCCUCACAUAGUGGAAGGCAGAUAGGCAUGAGCUCUCAUGACUUAAACACCCCCCAUUAGGCCCUACCUUUCAGAAUUAUCACAUUGGGAAUUACAUUUCCAACACAUAGAUUCUGGGGAACACAUUCAAACCAUAGCAGGGCUCAUGGAGCAAAAAGAUUUACCUAGUUACUACAUAUUCAAAACAGUUUUUAUCUGUAGCCUUUAUACUUUGAAGGACAGAUUGGCUGGACAUAAAAUCCUUGGCUCAUGCUAUCUUUUCUUUGAUGAGUCUCUUGUAGGUUCUUCUUCACAAUCUGUGUGUGAAUGUUGUUGUUGAGAAGCCUGAUGGCAAUCUAAUUUUUUCUCUUAUAAAUGGCUUGGUCUCUUCACAUGACUGACUAAAAAGUUUAUUUCUUCAUAUUUUAAGUACCAUAACAUGGUUUAGCAAUUACUAUUGCAAGUUAAUUCUCACAGGUAAAAGUGUGGCCUUUCAAUAUGUAGAGUUGUAUCUUUGAUUUCAAAACAUUUUUUCUUGAAUUAUUGUUUAAGGUAUUUACUCUUUUACAUUGGUUUUCUUCUUUUGGUACGUGAAUUAUAUGUAUGUUGGAUCUCCUUUGCCUGUCUUCUACAUUGAUCACUUUUGCUUUAAUUCUUUUUUCCUCCAAUUUUUUAUUGUGGUGAAAUACACAUACAGUUUAACAUCAUAAGUAUUAAGUGUACAGUUCUGAGAUAAUAAGUGCAUCAUAUUGUGUACAAACUCUCUCUAAUUCUUUUUUUUCUCUGUCUUUUUAAAAAAUUUUAGUUUCUUUGGACUUUUAAAUUUCUUUUCUCUAGACACCUGACAUGUGUUUUCUGGGGCACAUGCUCCCCUUUGUACUCCUUGUAUUUUAGUCUUAAUUCCUGAGAUGAUUAUGUCACUUCUCUUUCACAUCCUCCUAUUGCCGAGUUAAAUUCUUCUUUGAGGCCUUUUACUUCUGUUUUGUGAAUUUUUUUAUAGGUAGACAAUUAGGAAAAUUAUGUUGAAAUAUGUUUUCCCUCUGCCUAUUGGAACCUUUUUUAAUGAUGAGUUUUUUGUUAAUAAAAUAUGAUCUUAUGCCAUAUGUUUAAAUGGAGGCUUUGUUUGGAUGUGACAGUUUGCCUUUUUAUUAUUCGUAUUUGAAUGAGUUGGUUUUUUCUGGUCCAGUUGCUACAGGAGUAUCCUGUGACAGUUGUGUUUGGAGGUGGGAGAAAAUUAAUAUAGCUUCUCCUGUUUCUCAGCUCAUUGGCUCCUCCAUCUGUUGCACUCAAUUGGUAGUUUAUUGGAUAUAUUGUGAUACUACAUUUGUUCUCCUUGCACUCCCAGUCAUUUCUGUUGAUCUCCACCAGUUCUCAUGCAAUACCCUUUUCAUUCUUAGAACUGUCCAGAGCAGUGCCCCUCUAGGUGGUCCCUCACAUUCUGGUGAUGAAUAUCUGCUGUGGAUUCCAGAUUAUAAUGGUCUCUUUUUCCAUCUCCACGUUUCCUCAUAGCACUCACCAUUCCACUACCUCACCAUUCAUUGUUAUGGCUUCUAGUAUUAGUUUCCUGACUUGCUCUCUCCCCUCUCCACACUUACUUUCAUAUACCAAAAAGUUUGUGGCCAUUUUUGUCUUCUUAAAUUAUAUAUAUUUACAGCACACUACAUGAUGUUUUGGUACAUGUAUACAUUGUGAAAUGGUUAAAUCAAGCUAAUUAACAUAUCUAUCACCAUGCAUACUUGUUUUUUUUUGUGGUGAGAAGAUUUAAGAUCUACUCUUAGCAAUUUUCAAGUAUACAAUAUAUUAGUAUUAACUAUGAUCACCUUGCGGUACUACGGAUCUCCCAAACAUAUUCAUCCUUUGUAACUAAAAUUGGAUUUUUUUAAUCUGCUAAUUUUGCUAAAGGUGUAGGAUUUUAACAUAUUAAUUCUUCUUGUGUCUUUGUAUGGUUAUGAGAAAGAUACAUCAAAGAUUCCAUUCUAAGCUGUUGACAUGCUCUUAUAUGGCCAGGAGGCUACCUGAUUAUCUUAGAUACUGUAUUUGUUUUCUAUUGCUGCAUAACAAAUGGCCACAAACUUAGCAGCUUAAAACAACAACAUUUAUUAUUUCAUAGUUUCCAUGGGUCAGAAAUCUGGGCACGACUUAUGUAGGUCCUCUGCUAAAGUCCUUACAGGGCUAAGUUAAGGUCUGAAGGGCUGCAUUCUCAUCUGGAGGCUUGACUGAGGAAAAAUCUGCUCCCAAGCUCAUUCAGUUUGUUGGCAUCAUUCAUUUCCUUAUGGCUGUGUGACUGAGGCCCCUGUUUUCUUGUUAGAUGCUGGCCUGGAAUCAUUCUUAGCUCCCAGAGGCAUCUCUCAGAUCCACUCUGGGGCCCCCUUCAUAGGCCUUCUCACAACAUGACAGGUUACUCUUUCAAGCAGGAUCAUUUCUCUUCAGGAAGUAAGACAACUAGGUUGGGCACAGUGGCUCACACCUAUAAUCCCAGCACUCUGGGAGGCCAAGGCAGGUGGAUCUUUUGAGCUCAGGAGUUCAAGACCAGCCUGGGCAAUAUGGUGAAACUCCAUCUCUACACAAAUUCAAAAAUCAGCCAGGUGUAGUGGUGCACCUGGAAUCUCAGCUAUUUGGGAAGCUGAGGUGGGUGCACAGAAGGCUGGGAGGUCGAGGGUGCAGUGAGCCAAGAUUGCACCACUUCAUCACAGCCUGGGUGACAAAGCAAGACCCUAUCUCAACAAAAAAAGAAAAAAGAAAGAAAAGAAAGUAAGGCAACUAAACAUAUUGAGUAUGCCAAGAGAGUGCUCUUUCAAGAUGGCCGAAUAGGAACAGCUUCGGUCUGUAGCUCCCAGUGAGAUUGACGCAGAAGAUGGGUGAUUUCUGCAUUUCCAACUGAGGUACCUGGUUUAUUGGUUCAUCUCAUCAAGACUGGUUGGACCGUGGGUGCAGUCCAUGGAGGGUGAGCUGAAGCAGGGUGGGGCAUCACCUCACCUGGGAAGUGCAAGGAGUCAGGGAAUUUCCCUUUUCCAGCCAAGGGAAGCUGUGAGAGACUGUACCAGGAAGAACGGUACACUCCUGCCCAAAUACUGCACUUUUGCCAUGGUCUUUGCAACUGGCAGACCAGGAGAUUUCCUCUGGUGCCUGGCUCGGUGGGUCCCACGCCCAUGGAGCCCAGCAAGCUAAUAUCCAUUGGCUUGAAAUUCUCACUGCUAGAGCAGCAGACUGAAAUUGACCUGGAAUGCUGGAGCUUGCUGGGGGGAGGGGCAUCCACCAUUGCUGAGGCUUGAGUAGGCGAUUUUAUGCUCAUAGUGUAAAUAAAGCUGCCGGGAAGCUUGAACUGGUCAGAGCCCACUGCAGCUCAGCAAGGCUGACUGCCUCUCUAGAUUCCACCUCUGUGGGCAGUGCAUAUCUGAACAAAAGGCAGCAGCCCCAGCCAGGGACUUAUAGAUAAAACCCUCAUCUCCCUGGGACAGAGCACCUGGGGAAAGGGGCAGCUGUGGGCAAAGCUUCUCCAGACUUAAACGUCCCUGCCUGACAGCUCUGAAGAGAACAGUGGUUCUCCCAGUAUGGCAUUUGUGCUCUGAUAAUGGACAGACUGCCUCCUUAAGUGGGUCCCUGACCCCUGUGUAGCCUGACUGGGAGACACCUCCCAGUAGGGACAGAGAGACACCUCAUACAGGAGAGCUCUGGCUGGCAUCUUGUUGGUGCCCCUCUGGGAUGAAACUUCCAGAGGAAGGAUCAGGAAGCAAUAUUUGCUGUUCUGCAGCCUCUGCUGGUGAUGCCUAGGCAAUCAGCGUCUGGACCUCCAGCAAACUCCAACAGACCUGCAGCUGAGGGGCCUGACUGUUAGAAGGAAGACUAACAAACAGAAAGGAAUAGCAUCAACAUCAACAAAAAGGACAUCCACACCAAAACCCCAUCUGUAGGUCACCAACAUCAAAGACCAAAGGUAGAUAAAACCACAAAGAUGGGGAGAAACCAGAGCAGAAAGGCUGAAAAUUCCAAAAAUCAGAAGAUUUCUUCUCCAAAGGACCACAACUCCUCACCAGCAAGGGAACAAAACUGGAUGGAGAAUGAGUUUGAUGAGUUGACAGAAGUAGGCUUCAGAAGGUGGGUAAUAACAAACUUCUCCGAGCUAAAGAAGCAUGUUCUAACCCAUCGCAAGCAAGUUGAAAACCUUGAAAAAAGGUUAGGGGAAUGGCUAACUAGAAUAACCAGUGUAGAGAAGAACAUAAAUGACCUGAUGGAGCUGAAAAACACAGCAUGAGAACUUCAUGAAGCAUACAAAAGCUUCAAUAGCCGAUUUGAUCAAGGGAAGAAAGGAUAUCAGUGAUUGAAGAUCAAAUUAAUGAAAUAAAGUAAGAAGACAAGAUUAGAGAAAAAAGAGUGAAAAGAAAUGAACAAAGCCUCCAAGGAAUAUGGGACUAUGUGAAAAGACCAAAUCUACGUUUGAUUGGUGUACCUGAAAGUGACAGGGAGAAUGGAACCAAGUUAGAAAACACUCUUCAGGAUAUUAUCCAAGAGAACUUCCCCAACCUAACAAGGCAGGCCAACAUUCAAAUUCAGGAAAUACAGAGAAUGCCACAAAGAUAUUCCUCUAGAAGAGCCACCCUAAGACACAUAAUCAUCAGAUUCACCAAGGCUGAAAUGAAGAAAAAAAUGUUAAGGGCAGCCAGAGAGAAAGGUCCCACAAAGGGAAGCCCAUCAGACUAACAGCAGAUCUCUCGGCAGAAACUCUACAAGUCAGAAGAGAGUGGGGGCCAAUAUUCAACAUUCUUAAAGAAUUUUCAACCCAGAAUUUCAUAUCCAACCAAACUAAGCUUCAUAAAUGAAGGAGAAAUAAAAUCCUUUACAGACAAGCAAAUACUGAGUGAUUUUGUCACCACCAGGCCUGCCUUACAAGAGCUCCUGAAGGAAGCACUAAACGUGGAAAGGAACAACUGGUACCAGCCACGGCAAAAGCAUGCCAAAUUGUAAAGACCAUUGACGUUAUGAAGAAACGUCAUCAUAAUGUCAUCAUGCAUAAACGUUAGUUGUUUGCAUCAACUAACGUGCAAAACAACAAGCUAGCAUCAUAAUGACAGGAUCAAAUUCACACAUAACAAUAUUAACCUUAAAUGUAAAUGGGCUAAAUGCCCCAAUUAAAAGACACAGACUAGGAAAUUGGAUAAAGAGUCAAGACCCAUCAAUGUGCUAUAUUCAGGAGAACGAUCUCACAUGCAAAGACACACAUAGGCUCAAAAUAAAGGGACGGAGGAAGAUCUACUAAGCAAAUGGAAAGCAAAAAAGAAGCAGGAGUUGCAAUCCUCAUCUCUGAUAAAACAGACUUUAAAUGAACAAAGAUCAAAAGAGACAAAGAAGGCCAUUACAUAAUGGUAAAGGGAUCAAUUCAACAAGAAGAGCUAACUAUACUAAAUAUCUGUGCACCCAAUACAGGAGCACCCAGAUUCAUAAAGCAAGUCCUUAGAGACCUACAAAGAGACUUAGACUCCCACACAAUAAUAAUGGGAGACUUUAACACCCCACUGUCAAUAUUAGACAGAUCAUUGAGACAGAAAAUUAACAAGGAUAUCCAGGAAUUGAACUCAGCUCUGCACCAAGUGGACCUAAUAGGCAUCUACAGAGCUCUCCACCCCAAAUGUUGCAACAGAAUAUACAUUCUUCUCAGCAUCACAAUGCACUUAUUCUAAAAUUGACCACAUAAUUGGAAGGAAAACACUCUUCAGCAAAUGCAAAAGAACAGAAAUCACAACAAACUGUCUCUCAGACCACAGUGCAAUCAAACUAGAACUCAGGAUUAAAAAACUCACUCAAAACCACACAACUACAUGCAAACCGAACAACCUGCUCCUGAAUGACUACUGGGUCAACAACGAAAUGAAGGCAGAAAUAAAGAUGUUCUUUGAAACCAAUGAGAACAAAGACACAAUGUACCAGAAUGUCUGGGACACAUUUAAAGCAGUGUGCAGAGGGAAAUUUAUAGCACUAAAUGACCACAAGAGAAAGCAGGAAAGAUCUAAAAUCGACACCCUAACAUCAUAAUUAAAAGAACUAGAGAAGCAAGAGCAAACACAUUUAAAAGCUAGCAGAAGACAAGAAUAACUAAGAUCAGAGCAGAACUGAAGGAGAUAGGGACACAAAAAACCCUUCAAAAAAUCAAUGAAUCCAGGAACUGGUUUUUUGAAAAGAUCAACAAAAUUGAUAGACUGCUAGCAAGACAAAGAAGAAAAGAGAGAAGAAUCAAAUAGGUGCACUAAAAAAUAAUAAAGGGGAUAUCCCCACCGAUCCCACAGAAAUACAAACUACCAUCAGAGAAUACUACAAACACCUCUACGCAAAUAAAUUAGAAAAUCUAGAAGAAAUGGAUAAAUUCCUGGACACAUACACCCUCCCAAGACUAAACCAGGAAAAAAUUGAAUCUCUGAAUAGACCAAUAACAGGUUCUGAAAUUGAGGCAAUAAUUAAUAGCCUACCAACCAAAAAAAGUCCAGAACCAGACAGAUUCACAGCCAAAUUCUACCAGAGGUACAAAGAGGAGCUGGUACCAUUCCUUCUGAAACUAUUCCAAUCAAUAGAAAAAGAGGGAAUCCUCCAUAACUCAUUCUAUGAGGCCAGCACCAUCCUGACAUCAAUGUCUGGCAGAGACACAACAAAAAAGAGAAUUUUAGGCCAAUGUCUUUGAUGAACAUCAAUGCGAAAAUCCUCAAUGAAAUACUGGCAAGCCGAAUCCAGCAGCACAUCAAAAAGCUUAUCCACCACAACGAAGUCGGCUUCAUCCCUGGGAUGCCAGGCUGGUUCAACAUAUGCAAAUCAAUAAAUGUAAUCCAUCACGUAAACAGAACCAAUGACAAAAACCACAUGAUUAUCUCAAUAGACGCAGAAAAGGCCUUCGACAAAAUUCAACAGCCCUUCAUGCUAAAAACUCUCAAUAAACUAGGUAUUGAUGGAACGUAUCUCAAAAUAAUAAGAGCUGCUUAUGACAAGCCCACAGCCAAUAUCAUACUGAAUGGGCAAAAGCUGGAAGCAUUCCCCUUGAAAACCAGCACAAGACAAGGAUGCCCUCUCUCACCACUCCUAUUCUACAUAGUACUGGAAGUUCUGGCCAGGGCAAUCAUGCAAGAGAAAGAAAUAAAGUGUACUCAAUUAGGAAAAGAGGAAGUCAAAUUGUCCCUGUUUGCAGAUGACAUGAUUGUACAUUUAGAAAACCCCUUGUCUCAGCCCAAAAUCUCCUUAAGCUGAUAAGCAACUUCAGCAAAGUCUCAGGAUACAAAAUCAAUGUGAAAAAAUCACAAGCAUUCCUAUACACCAAUAAAAGACAGAGAGCCAAAUCAUGAGUGAACUCCCAUUCACUAUUGCUACAAAGGGAAUAAAAUACCUAGGAAUCCAACUUAUAAGGGAUGUGAAGGACCUCUUCAAGGAGAACUACAAACCACUGCUCAAUGAAAUAAAAGAGGACACAAACAAAUGGAAGAACAUUCCAUGCUCAUGGAUAGAAGGAAUCAAUAUCAUGAAAAUGGCCAUACUGCCCAAAGUAAUUUAUAGAUUCAAUGCUAUCAAGCUACCACUGACUUUCUUCACAGAAUUGGAGAAAACUACUUUAAAGUUCAUGUGGAACCAAAAAAGAGCCCUCAUAGCCAAGACAAUCCUAAGCAAAAUGAACAAAGCCGGAGGCAUCAUGCUACCUGACUUCAAACUAUACUACAAGGCUACAGUAACCAAAACAGCAUGGUACUUGUACCAAAACAGAGAUAUAGACCAAUGGAACAGAACAGAGCCUUCAGAAAUAACACCACACAUCUACAACCAUCUGAUUUUUGACAAACCUGACAAAAACAAGAAAUGGGGAAAGGAUUCCCUAUUUAAUAAGUGGUGCUGGGAAAACUGGCUAGCCAUAUAGAAAGCUGAAACUGGAUCCCUUCCUUACACCUUAUACAAAAAUUAAAUCAGAUGGAUUAAAGACUUAAAUGUAAGACCUAAAACCAUAAAAACUCCAGAGGAAAACCUAGGCAAUACCAUUCAGGACAUAGGCAUGGGCAAAUACUUUAUGACUAAAAUACCAAAAGCAAUGGCAACAAAAGCCAAAAUCGACAAAUGGGAUCUAAUUAAACUAAAGAGCUUCUGCACAGCAAAAUAAACUAUCAGCAGAGUGAACAGGCAACCUACAGAAUGGGAGAAAAUUUUUACAAUCUAUCCAUCUGACAAAGGGCUAAUAUCCAGAAUCUACAAAGAACUUAAACAAAUUUACAAGAAAAAACAAACAACCCCAUCAUAAAGUGGGCAAAGGAUAUGAACAGACACUUCUCAAAAGAAGACAUUUAUGCAGCCAAAAGACACAUGAAAAAAUCUUCAUCAUCACUGGUCAUUAGAGAAAUGCAAAUCAAAACUACAAUUAGAUACCAUCUCACGCCAAUUAGAAUAGUGAUCAUUAAAAAGUCAGGAAACAACAGAUGCUGGAGAGGAUGUGGAGAAAUAGGAACACUUUUACACUGUUGGUGGGAGUGUAAAUUAGUUCAACCAUUGUGGAAGACAGUGUGGCAAUUCCUCAAGGAUCUAGAACUAGAAAUACCAUUUGACUGAGCCAUCACAUUACUGGGUAUAUACCCAAAGGAUUAUAAAUCAUGCUGCUAUAAAGACACAUGCACACAUAUGUUUAUUGCAGCACUAUUCACAAUAGCAAAGACUUGGAACCAACCCAAAUGUCCAUCAAUAAUAGACUGGAUAAAGAAAAUGUGGCACAUAUACACCAAGGAAUACUAUGCAGCCAUAAAAAAGGAAGAGUUCAUGUCCUUUGUGGGGACAUGGAUGAAGGUCCAUCCAUCAUUCAUCCAAUGAUGGAUGAAGGAAGCCAUCAUUCUCAGCAAACUAUCACAAGGACAGAAAACCAAACACUGCAUGUUCUCACUCAUAAGUGGGAGUUGAACAAUGAGAACACAUGGACACAGGGAGGAGAACAUCACAUAUUGGGGCCUGUCAGGGGGUUGGGGGCUGGGGGAGGGAUAGCAUUAGGAGAAAUACCUAAUAUAAUGACGAGUUGAUGGGUGCAGCAAACCAACAUGGCACAUGUAUACCUAUGUAACAAACCCGCAUGUUGUGCACAUGUAACCCAGAACUUAAAAUAUAACUAAAAAAAAUUAUAUGUGAGUGACUUCGAGUUCCUAAUUAUUGUGAUUAAAAAUUCAAAGUGCUAUUUUGUUUAAUAAUUCAAUUUACAUAAUUUAUACAAAGUAGCUGUUUAUCCUAAUUGCUUUCAUUAGCAUUAACAUAUUAGCUAUAACUUUUACCUGUGGAAGGAACACUUUCUCUAAUUUUAAUGAAAAUACCAUUUGGGUAACAGUGGUCUUGCUUCAGACUUUCUGACAGCUAAUCCCUUGGUGUCCUUCGAUCUCCAGUUGGGGACUGCAGGAUCCUACCCAUUUUCCUUUCCUUUUGUGGGCUGUCACUGCCCCCUUUAUCACUUGGGUUUCUUCUCUUCCAUGUCUGGUCUUAGAGUGAGACAGUCUCUCAGUUCUCCCUAACUUGCUGUUCUAAAGAUGAGCUUAUAAACCAUUUUCAUUUUAAGGACUUAAUCAUGAUUGCAAAAGAUCCAAAAUCAUAAAUAAAAAUUUCAGACUCAUAGUGUCUGUCAUUGUCACCAACUAUAAUUCCCGGUCCCCUUCCUAGAUGUCUGUCUCUGAGGUCCUCACCCAAGAUUCCCCACCCUAUGGAAAAUGGAGGUCACUCAGCAUGUCUCCCUCAGAUGCUGGCAGCCAUGUGAGGCUGUGGGGUCUAGGAGAGGUCUCCUCAGCUUUUGUCCCUGAAGUGUGGUUUGGGCUGAUCAGAGUAUAGAACAGAGUGGGUAUCCAAGUAUCUUCUAAAGGGUGCAUGGUACUUUCCAAGACCUCUCGCCUGAGCAUUCCCCAUCCAGGGGGCUGCAGCUCAGGUACCCUUGGCUGAGCCUGACUGUAAAGUCUUAUGCAUCAACCUCUUCAGAGAAGAGACAGGGAUUCUUGGAGACCAGAGUUGAGGAUUGAGGGCCACUGUCAGGAAUGCGUGAGGAGGGGAGAGCCUUGGUUUGUUUCAAGGGAAGAGUUUGAAGUUGAGAUGAAGUGGUGGAUGAAUGGGCAUGAUAGCUACAGGGUCAGAAUAAGUUCUAGUGAUGACACAUUGCUAGCUGCCUCCUGGGAAUGUGCUUUUCAAUUUCUGUCCCUUCCUCCUGCCCCUGCUGGUGACUCCAGUGGAACCUGGAACAGAUAGAUCUUCAUUGGUAGGAAGUUCCCAGAUGUCAGGGACAGGACCCCCGGGACCCCAGUCUACAAGACAUAAGGGCUGGGGAUGAGGAAGGAACUCAGGGAGUGUUGGGCAAUCACACCCUUUCCCAGGGAGGAGCUACCUGGGCUUAUUCACAGGGCGGGUCCCCAGGUGCUCUCAGCCUGGGUCUGUUCCCACUUAAGUUUCUCUGGGUGCUGUAAACAGAGCUGGCUUGGAGCCUCAGCCCUCUGCCUUUCUCUUCUCUUCCAUCUUUUGUUAGGGAUCCUGGGCUCUCCUCUUCUCUCUGGGAAGCCAGAGCCCAAGUGCUCCAUUCCCAGGGAGGGAGUGCCCUCUAGGGCCAGGGGGAGUGAAGGCCUGAGGAGGCACCAGCUGGAGAAGAAGGGCAGGUCCUGGAGGCCAAGUCUGGAAGGGAAGGAGCUGCUGGCCAAUCAGGGGCGAGCCGACUGCACCCUGACCUGCUGGGCUGGAACAGCACAGAACCCACAGGUAUCUGUGAGUUUGAGUGUGUGUGUGUGUGUGUGUGUGUAUUUCUUUAGAAGUCUUCAUUCAGCAAUGGGACGGAAGUCUAUAGGGUUAAAAUGUGUACAUGGUAGGGAAAGCUCCCCUGAUCUCGUUUUUUGGAACUCUUUCUCCAAAUAAGAAAAUUUUCUUCAUUCUAAAUUCUUCUAAAUGAGUUUGGUUUCACCACUGCUGGAUCUUUCUUGGCAAGGCUGUGGGUUCUGAGGUUACCUCUACCCAAUUUCUUCCUUUUCUGUAGAGCCCUAAAUUCUUAUCUAUUAUGUCUCACUUGUCUCCUGGUCUAAUGUUUCUUUCAGUAUACAGGAUGCACAGCAAUGUGAGCCAAGGUGGUAAAUCCUUGGCUCUAGCUUAUCCUACCAGCUUAGUGUUUGCAGUUCAUGGUGUGGAUUGGAGACAUUAUCAGUUCUGUCUCUGGCAAGGUCAGGGACUGGGCUGAAGCCUUGAUAUUUUGGAUGUAUGAUAUGACCAGCUUGGGGCAGGAUUUGCCAUACUGACGUUUCAUGGUUGUGGAAGCACAGUGAUUAAGUGACCAGGGUGCAAACCAGAAUUGAUAGUGGCUUCCAGUAGCUUUGCAGGAGGCCAGCUCCUAACAGGCCUUCAAUCUUGGGAAAGUGAAUCCUUACCUCUCAUUUAACUAACGAGGGAGGCUGAACAUUUUUCCUUAUAUUUAUUAGGUGCCUGCCUCAUUUGUAAUUAGCUCAUUUUGUCUUCACUGCAGUUUUCCUGAAUGAAUGGAAUCCUGGGUGUUAUCUGCUAAGUGGUUGCUUGUCCUGACCCAGGAGGCUUCCACAUGUUC
This 18755-nucleotide long non-coding RNA is filed under the name Homo sapiens (human). RNAcentral's name for it is "non-protein coding lnc-PGLYRP4-1:1". The record is from RNAcentral. Lineage: Eukaryota; Metazoa; Chordata; Mammalia; Primates; Hominidae.